AGUGAACGCUGGCGGUAGGCCUAACACAUGCAAGUCGAACGGCAGCACAGUAAGAGCUUGCUCUUACGGGUGGCGAGUGGCGGACGGGUGAGGAAUACAUCGGAAUCUACUUUUUCGUGGGGGAUAACGUAGGGAAACUUACGCUAAUACCGCAUCGACCUACGGGUGAAAGCAGGGGAUCUUCGGACCUUGCGCGAUUGAAUGAGCCGAUGUCGGAUUAGCUAGUUGGCGGGGUAAAGGCCCACCAAGGCGACGAUCCGUAGCUGGUCUGAGAGGAUGAUCAGCCACACUGGAACUGAGACACGGUCCAGACUCCUACGGGAGGCAGCAGUGGGGAAUAUUGGACAAUGGGCGCAAGCCUGAUCCAGCCAUACCGCGUGGGUGAAGAAGGCCUUCGGGUUGUAAAGCCCUUUUGUUGGGAAAGAAAUCCAGCCGGCUAAUACCUGGUUGGGAUGACGGUACCCAAAGAAUAAGCACCGGCUAACUUCGUG
Molecule: ribosomal RNA, 491 nt
Filed under: uncultured bacterium
Lineage: Bacteria
Description: partial 16S ribosomal RNA
Rfam family: Bacterial small subunit ribosomal RNA
Source: RNAcentral